AUUUUUUAAAAAUUUUUAAUUUUUCUUUCAAAAAUGUUAAAAUUAUUCAGAAUUUAAUGUCAGAUGUCAUACGUCAACGCAGAACAGAUAAAAGCAGAUUUAAAUAUCCGACUUUGUCAGUCAGCUGUUUCUACUAGGCCAACAAUGGAUGGGUGAUACCUAUACCAUGAAAAAAUUCUUUUUGUGUUUGUGUAACGUGUAAUGUGGCCGUUUUUCUGUUUUUGCUGUUUGGGGUUGUACGGAGGAUAUCCAACCAAAAGUUAUUUUCACAAGAUGCAAAUGUUAACACCUCAAUUUUGUAGCGGUACUUUUUUAACAAUUGACCAUUAGCUCCGAUGAUGACAUUUAUGUCGAAAGCGCUCAGCUAAAGAAAUAAAUUAUUUACACACUUUGA
This 394-nucleotide long non-coding RNA is filed under the name Diabrotica virgifera virgifera (western corn rootworm). RNAcentral's name for it is "uncharacterized LOC126885843". Lineage: Eukaryota; Metazoa; Arthropoda; Insecta; Coleoptera; Chrysomelidae. The record is from RNAcentral.